This is a non-coding RNA of Podarcis lilfordi (Lilford's wall lizard), 74 nucleotides long. NCBI's taxonomy places the organism in Eukaryota, Metazoa, Chordata, Lepidosauria, Squamata, Lacertidae. The record is from the annotation of a GenBank genome assembly.
GCCUGGAUAGCUCAGUUGGUUAGAGUGCAGUGCUGAAAACGCCAAGGUUGCUGGUUUGAUCCCCGUGUGGGACA